RNAcentral lists this transfer RNA (72 nucleotides) under Camelus bactrianus (Bactrian camel). It matches the Rfam family "tRNA". From Rfam's summary of the family: Transfer RNA (tRNA) molecules are approximately 80 nucleotides in length. Their secondary structure includes four short double-helical elements and three loops (D, anti-codon, and T loops). Further hydrogen bonds mediate the characteristic L-shaped molecular structure. tRNAs have two regions of fundamental functional importance: the anti-codon, which is responsible for specific mRNA codon recognition, and the 3' end, to which the tRNAs corresponding amino acid is attached (by aminoacyl-tRNA synthetases). tRNAs cope with the degeneracy of the genetic code in two manners: having more than one tRNA (with a specific anti-codon) for a particular amino acid; and 'wobble' base-pairing, i.e. permitting non-standard base-pairing at the 3rd anti-codon position. The record is from Rfam by way of RNAcentral. RNAcentral also lists the same sequence under 2 other names. Lineage: Eukaryota; Metazoa; Chordata; Mammalia; Artiodactyla; Camelidae.
GGGAUAAUAGCUCAGUGAUAGAGCACAUGCUUAACAAGCACAAGGUCCUGGGUUCAAUCCCUAGUACCUCCA